CAGUCACAGAGUAAAUAAACUAAGACUCAAAACUGGAAGUUAGGUUUGUGGAGUUCUGUCACAAUUAUGAUGACAAUAAUGACUCUGUCUUUUCUCCUACUACUCUCCUCUUCCCUGUCUCCUGUCCAGCCACGUUGCCUCCUGGCUGUUCCUGGAACACUCCAGGUGAUUCCAAAACUCCUCCUAGUUAAGAAACAAUGGAUCAAGCAUCCUCAUUUUACAGAUCGAGGAAACUGAGGCCCAGCAUGGUGCCAUGAUGACUCCAGAUCACUGAGGAAAAGACAGAAGCUGAUUGAGGUCCCAGCUUGGUAACAGUUUGAAGAGUUGCAGGACUGGCUGGAUGAGUACUGGCUGCAGCAAAUCAGGCUGCCAGGAUUCUUUAUGGCUGUUUCUGCUUCCACUACAGCUGAGUCAGAAAGGUCGCUGCCCCGUGGUGGCACUAGACGCAGUGGACCUGGCAAGCAAAUGUUUCCGCUAUUAGCUCUCAGCAACAGAGACUCAUUUAUGGUCACCUUGGAAAUCUGGGCUUAUCGAUCUACAGCCCAAGUCUGCUGAGAAGCUGGAGCUUACUAAAGGGGAAACCUGAGAGCUGUUCAAGCCCCAAAUAUUUUCCACUUCUGCGUCACCUCUGCUGUCUGUUAGCAGAGUGGAGGAGAAAAUACACAGCACAAACAACGUGAAAAAAUAGUUACUCUAUUCAUUAAAAGCUGUAACUUCCAGAUUGGACUUGAGAAGCAAUUAAGCAACAGAGGAACCUCAUCUACUAUCUGUAUUCAGGCAUGCUCAUGAGAACACGCUGCUCCAGCUGGACUUAGAGGAACCCGGUGCAUCACAGGCAUUCCUGACAGAGUCUCGUGGUCCUGCUGGUCCACUCAGUGGUACUCAGUCCUCCUCAUUCUCGGGGAUAGGUUCCAAGACCCCCAGGGGAUGCCUGAAACUGCGGAUGGUGAAAUGCCAUCACAUCCUUCAUACUCAUAUUUUUAGGACCAUAGGAGACCCAAUAUAUCUGUCUGUAUUGCAAUAAAUUACAAGGCUUUGACCAAAGACCCAGUUCCUAACUGACUGCUCUUGAAGCCAGCUCCACUGCAGAAUUAAGGAACAGAGAUGAGACUUGUCUGACAUGGGGAACUGUCACAGGAUAAUACCUUUGAAAAGCCUGGUUUUAGAACUUGCCUCUCUCAAUUUGAGGCAGUGUAUGUUUUUAAGUUUCUAAAAAUAAGAUAUUAUAAGAUUUGUAACAUUACAAUGACUGCCAAUGCAAAGAACCUCUGGGACUCUAGUGCAUCAGUGGAAUAUCAGCACAUUGAUGGACAUGUGGACUAUUUGGAUUCAGAAGACCUGGUUUGAGCUCAUCUCUGCUGCCAACUGUCUGUGUGACCUUAAGUAAAAUUAUCUCCUCUCUC
RNAcentral lists this long non-coding RNA (1403 nucleotides) under Homo sapiens (human). Its description in RNAcentral is "PREDICTED lncRNA (TCONS_00264030)". The record is from RNAcentral. Lineage: Eukaryota; Metazoa; Chordata; Mammalia; Primates; Hominidae.